UCUUCAUUCCACGUUCUCUCUCGUCACUCUGACCGGCGAGAGAGUAUGAGAAAUGAAGAGA
RNAcentral lists this microRNA precursor (61 nucleotides) under Pristionchus pacificus. RNAcentral describes it as "mir-8364 microRNA precursor family". It matches the Rfam family "mir-8364 microRNA precursor family". Lineage: Eukaryota; Metazoa; Nematoda; Chromadorea; Rhabditida; Neodiplogasteridae. The record is from Rfam by way of RNAcentral.